GCCCUUGAAAGAUAAUAGUUAUCUAUUGGUCUUAGGAACCAAAAACUCUUGGUGCAACUCCAAGCAAGAGCU
This 72-nucleotide transfer RNA is filed under the name Pristiophorus japonicus. RNAcentral's name for it is "tRNA-Leu". It matches the Rfam family "tRNA". Rfam says of the family: Transfer RNA (tRNA) molecules are approximately 80 nucleotides in length. Their secondary structure includes four short double-helical elements and three loops (D, anti-codon, and T loops). Further hydrogen bonds mediate the characteristic L-shaped molecular structure. tRNAs have two regions of fundamental functional importance: the anti-codon, which is responsible for specific mRNA codon recognition, and the 3' end, to which the tRNAs corresponding amino acid is attached (by aminoacyl-tRNA synthetases). tRNAs cope with the degeneracy of the genetic code in two manners: having more than one tRNA (with a specific anti-codon) for a particular amino acid; and 'wobble' base-pairing, i.e. permitting non-standard base-pairing at the 3rd anti-codon position. RNAcentral also lists the same sequence under 16 other names. Lineage: Eukaryota; Metazoa; Chordata; Chondrichthyes; Pristiophoridae. The record is from RNAcentral.